RNAcentral lists this ribosomal RNA (253 nucleotides) under uncultured bacterium. Its description in RNAcentral is "partial 16S ribosomal RNA". It matches the Rfam family "Bacterial small subunit ribosomal RNA", at positions 524 to 776 of the family's 1533-position model. The record is from RNAcentral.
UACGUAGGGUGCAGGCGUUAAUCGGAAUUACUGGGCGUAAAGCGUGCGCAGGCGGCUCCUUAAGUCAGAUGUGAAGGCCCCGGGCUUAACCUGGGAACUGCGUUUGAAACUGGGGAGCUAGAGUGUAGAAGAGGGGGGUGGAAUUCCAGGUGUAGCAGUGAAAUGCGUAGAUAUCUGGAGGAACACCGAUGGCGAAGGCAGCCCCCUGGGCUAACACUGACGCUCAUGCACGAAAGCGUGGGGAGCAAACAGG